RNAcentral lists this ribosomal RNA (951 nucleotides) under Agaricus sp. RNAcentral describes it as "LSU rRNA". It matches the Rfam family "Eukaryotic large subunit ribosomal RNA", at positions 31 to 969 of the family's 3401-position model. The record is from RNAcentral. Lineage: Eukaryota; Fungi; Basidiomycota; Agaricomycetes; Agaricales; Agaricaceae.
GAACUAAGCAUAUCAAUAAGCGGAGGAAAAGAAACUAACAAGGAUUCCCCUAGUAACUGCGAGUGAAGCGGGAAAAGCUCAAAUUUAAAAUCUGGCAGUCUCUGGCUGUCCGAGUUGUAAUCUAGAGAAGUAAUGCCCGUGCUGGACCGUGUAUAAGUCUCCUGGGAUGGGGCGUCAUAGAGGGUGAGAAUCCCGUCUUUGACACGGACUACCAGUGCAUUGUGGUAUGCUCUCAAAGAGUCGAGUUGUUUGGGAAUGCAGCUCAAAAUGGGUGGUAAAUUCCAUCUAAAGCUAAAUAUUGGCGAGAGACCGAUAGCGAACAAGUACCGUGAGGGAAAGAUGAAAAGAACUUUGGAAAGAGAGUUAAACAGUACGUGAAAUUGCUGAAAGGGAAACGCUUGAAGUCAGUCGCGUUGGCCGGGAAUCAGCCUUGCUUUUGCAUGGUGUACUUUCUGGUUGACGGGUCAGCAUCAAUUUUGACCGCUGGAAAAAGACCUGGGGAAUGUGGCAGCUUCGGCUGUGUUAUAGCCCCUAGUCGCAUACAGUGGUUGGGAUUGAGGAACUCAGCACGCCGCAAGGCCGGGUUUCGACCACGUUCGUGCUUAGGAUGCUGGCAUAAUGGCUUUAAGCGACCCGUCUUGAAACACGGACCAAGGAGUCUAACAUGCCUGCGAGUAUUUGGGUGGAAAACUCAAGUGCGUAAUGAAAGUGAAAGUUGAGAUCCCUGUCGUGGGGAGCAUCGACGCCCGGACCAGAACUUUUGGGACGGAUCCGCGGUGGAGCAUGUAUGUUGGGACCCGAAAGAUGGUGAACUAUGCCUGAAUAGGGUGAAGCCAGAGGAAACUCUGGUGGAGGCUCGUAGCGAUUCUGACGUGCAAAUCGAUCGUCAAAUUUGGGUAUAGGGGCGAAAGACUAAUCGAACCAUCUAGUAGCUGGUUCCUGCCGAAUUCC